Molecule: ribosomal RNA, 117 nt
Filed under: Danio rerio (zebrafish)
Lineage: Eukaryota; Metazoa; Chordata; Actinopteri; Cypriniformes; Danionidae
Source: RNAcentral
GCCGGCAGCCAGCUCUCUGCAACUCUCACAUGGUUGCCCACUGAGGCCAAGCAGGACUGCACCCAGUCAGUACCUGGAUGAAAGACCACAUGGGAAAGCUAUAGGUUGUUGCUAGAA